Molecule: ribosomal RNA, 432 nt
Filed under: uncultured bacterium
Lineage: Bacteria
Description: partial 16S ribosomal RNA
Rfam family: Bacterial small subunit ribosomal RNA
Source: RNAcentral
AACGAACGCUGGCGGCAUGCCUAACACAUGCAAGUCGAACGAGACCUUCGGGUCUAGUGGCGCACGGGUGCGUAACGCGUGGGAACCUGCCCUUAGGUUCGGAAUAACUCCCCGAAAGGGGUGCUAAUACCGGAUAAUGUCUUCGGACCAAAGAUUUAUCGCCUUUGGAUGGGCCCGCGUUGGAUUAGCUAGUUGGUAGGGUAAAAGCCUACCAAGGCGACGAUCCAUAGCUGGUCUGAGAGGAUGAUCAGCCACACUGGGACUGAGACACGGCCCAGACUCCUGCGGGAGCCGGGAGUGGGGAAUAUGGAACAGGGGGCAAAGGCGGUACCCCCCAUGGCCGGGGGAGUGAUGAGGCCUUAGGGUUUAAAAACCUUUUUCCCCCGGAAUAAAAAUGACAGCCCGGGGAGAAAACCCCCCGCCAACCUCCGG